Molecule: non-coding RNA, 2460 nt
Organism: Callithrix jacchus (white-tufted-ear marmoset)
Lineage: Eukaryota; Metazoa; Chordata; Mammalia; Primates; Cebidae
Source: RefSeq, a predicted model, not a curated record
AUGGUGACAGCUGAGGCACUGAACAUUGGCAAAAAACUGUAUGAGGGUAAAACAAGAGGUCUAUGAAUUGUUUGGUAGAUAGGCCAGGAAAAGUCCUCCUGCAGUCCAAGGACCAGUCUACAGCAGGAAAUGCAGUUAGAAUCACCUGGAAGGAAAGGCUGCAAUUUCAAAUAAAAUUACCAUUUGCAUUUUUCUAUUACAGGAAGCAGGUAUUAAAACUGCUUUCACUAGAAAAUGUGAGACAGCUUUCAUUGUGUCCUAGUGUGAAAUAAUUCCAGUUGAAUGGGUUUGCAACUGGUUCUUACUUCAAAAGAAAUCCUGGUGUCAAGGAAGGAUAUGAGUUUUACCCACCUAAAGUGGACAUGUUUUUCAAGGAUGAUACCCACAGUGGUCUAGGGAACAGCUAAUUGCAGCAAAAUUUGGCUUUGCUGUGCUUGGUAUAAAACUGAAGUGGAUAUCAUGAGUCAUGCUACACAGGCUGUUUUUGAAAUUCUGGAGAGAUCCUGGUUGCCCCCCAGCACUGUACACUGGUUGAUAUGAAGAUUGAAUUUGGUGUUGAUGUGACCAGCAAAGAAACUGUGCCCACUGAAGUUAUUGAUACUGAUUCCUAGAGACACUGACCAUCAGGAGAUCAGAGCCAAUAGAAAGACAGUCUUUUAAUCAUACUUUAAAAAAUUGUAACUCCUAAAGGUUUGCAGAUGGUAAAGACAAACUUUGCGUGGGUUGUAGAGAGUAGAGUCGCUUUUGAAAUCAGAGUCAGUGCAGUCUUGCAGUACUGUUGGGUUCUAUUUCUGAUCUUAAGUCACUGUGAAAAAAUUCAAGAAGGCCUGUGGAAAUUUGGCAUUCCAUGUGGACUUUGAGUAAUAUCUGCACAUAAAGGACUAGAUGAAACUCUGAGGAUUAAAGCUGAGUAUGCAGAGGGGGCAUUCAUACUGUAUUUGUGGCAGGGAGAAGCAAUGGUUUGGGAACACUGCUUAUCCAGUUAUCUGCUGUCCUCCCCUUACACCAGACUGAGGCAUUCAGGAUGUGUGGUCUCAGCUGUUCAACCAUACUUUCUCCAGAAGGAUGAGCACAGUUUGCUGCUCAUAUAUUUGGAUUAAACAACCAUUUAUUAUGGGGCAAACUGAAAGUAAGCACUUUGAACACAUGGAUUUCCUGGAAGAAAGGUGACAAAAUCAGAGAAAGAACAUCAUUGCAUUUUUUUAGGGGGAAAAGUACACUUUUCUAAUUUAGCUGCAGAAAAAUCAAGCAAGAUGAAAAAAAUUACAGAACACACAAAAAAUAUAUUAGUGAAUACAUGCUUCUCUAGAUUAAAAAAAAUUCACAAUGUAAUUAAAACAGGUAAGUGCUGUGAAAAAUAGAAACAUGGUGACAUAAGAAGAGCCUGACAGGCGGAACCGAAGCAAGUCCUGAGAGUGUAAGCCAGCUUCCCCAAGGAAGUGACAUUUGAACCGAGAUCUGAAGGACAGAGUUGAUAAAUGAAGUAGAGAAAGGGAGUGCUGAGGGCAGAGGGCAACUGCAUGGGUAGAGGCUGGGAGCAAGAUGAAUACAGUGUGGCCCAAGUAAUUAGGAAGUGCCAGUGGCUGGAGUGCAGAGACAGCAGGGCAGUUUAGCUAGACACAAGAGUAAGGGAGGCAAGGUGUUUGGUCUUUAUGGCAGAGGAAAGGCAUUUAUUGAAGUGACAUUUAAAAAAAUUACUGAUGGUUGGGCACGGUAGCUUACGCCUCUAUUCCCAGCACUUUGGGAGGCUGAGGCAUGUGGAUCACUUGAGGUCAGAAGUUUGAGAUCAGCCUGGCCAAGGUGGUGAAACCCGCCUCUACUGGAAAAAACACAAAAAUUAGCUUAGUGUGGUGGUGGGUGCCUGUAAUCCCAGCUAUUCAGGAAGCUGAGGCAGGAGAAUCACUUGAACCUGGGAGGCAGAGGUUGCAGUGAGCCGAGAUUUUGCCACUGCACUCCAGCCUGGGUGACAGAGUAAGACCAUGUCUCAAAAAAAAAAAAAAAAAAAAAAAAAAUUGACAAUAUGAAUAUUGCCAGGAUAUGAGAACUGAGAUAAAUCCUAUUUUACCUUCAAUUUCUACUUUAAAAUCAGCUAUGCUCUUUUGGAGAAAAAAAUUCCCUAGUUGGAAACUUCAGCUAAAUAGAUGUAAGAUGGGAGUCAGCCCCUCGGGGAUUGGGAGUGCUCUGUAGUUAUGCGGAGGUUCCCCAGGGCUCUUCCUGGUCAGGCCUAUUGCUCACUCUGGAGGUCUAGAACUCUACAAUGACUGCUAGAGGUGGAUUAAAACAUUUCAUCAGAUCAUGUGAUUAUUAAACACCAUUUUUUAAAUGAAUUCCAACUUUACAAGUUCAGGAUAUUGCACUUUCUCUUUAUGAUGAAUUUCAAUUGCAAACAGGACUUUUAGAAGCAACUGCUCCUUUACUUUGCUGUUCUUAUCAGGCAACCUCAACAUGGCUAAAACUUCA